Long non-coding RNA from Daphnia pulicaria, 1503 nucleotides. RefSeq lists it as uncharacterized. The transcript has 2 exons. NCBI's taxonomy places the organism in Eukaryota, Metazoa, Arthropoda, Branchiopoda, Diplostraca, Daphniidae. The record is from RefSeq and is a predicted model, not a curated record.
CAGCAUCCUCCUCCCCUACACACGCAUCUGCUGGCCCUGUACAAAAUAGAGGAGGAUACAUAUAGGGAGAGACGAAAGACAGAAGGAGAGAGAUGGGGCGGUAUUAAAGUUUCUUCACUGCGUGUCGCCGGAUCGCAGUCAUCGGCCAGUCGACGUCCUCGUCGGACGUUCCCAAUUUCCUCUCGUCCAAUUUCUUUUUUUUUCUUUCAUUUUUUCUUUUAAAUUUUUUAGUUUGUCGUGUUCGUCAUCGGUUUUGAGGGUUUGAUUGGCAGAUCUAAAGGUUAGUUGAACACAAUUUCAUUUUGCCAAAACAAAUUUUAAAAAAUCAUUAGGAGAGAGAGAAAGGCGGCCAUCUUAUUAUAUACGAAAGGCUCGGCGUGUCGUACAAUCUCGUGGUAUUUCGCGGCGAGUGUGUCGAUUUCUAUCAUUUCAGAAUUGAUUUCCGUUUCCACAUUAUUUUGAUGGGGUUUGCAUUGAUGUUGCCAAUAUUUUAAAAGGAUAAGAAACUAAAAAAAAUUCGUUGGGUUGUAAAAGAAAAACAAUGCCGAGAAUCAUCAUCACGGGGAGAGCCAAGAGAAUGGGAGUGAUCCUAAGCGUCGCACGACGUCAGCGCCACCGUCGCAAUAGGAGGGGGGUUGGGAUGUGCUCCCGAUCGAUGAGUCGACGAGAGGGUGGAGUAGAAGCGCCCGUACACACUCACAUGGUAUAAAGAUGGCUUCACGUUUUCUCUCUCAUCUAGUGUGUGCAAUUGUGUUGUGUGUGUGUGUGUUUGGCCGGCGGUUUUUCAGAGUCCGGGUUCGACGCCGACGCCAUCUGCCGUCGCUCAGUCAGGAGGGGGGAAGCAGACAGUUAGGUGGGGUGGGCAAGGAGGUGGUGGCCGUAGUCGCAGAUGGAGAGACAACGUCGACAGUUCGUUUUGUUUGAUGAUGUGACUCCUCAACUCACAUAUCGUCGUCGUCACCACAUCAUUUUUCAACGUUAGCAUAUUUAUGACACACAGCAGACUCCCGACCAAACACAGAGGCCAAGCCGAUCAUCGACCAUGUUGUUUUCUUCAUUUUCUUGCUUGGUCUUGCUUAUUGGAUUCUUUUUAUUGUGUGUGUGUUUUUUUCUUCUGUUGUUGCAGGGGCAUCAAAUAUAUAGGAGGCAUUUCGACACCGGAAGCUGAAGGAGCAUCACGUAUCAUCUCUCGCUGUGGAGAAAAUGGUUCAAUGACUUGGCCUUAUCAUUCACCAGUCCGGUUAGAUUUUUUGGAAAGUUCCUUUUUCUUGGUUGCACCAAGAUUUAGUUGAACACCCUACUGGACGGAGAACUGAUAAGGGCGUGUCUUGCAACACAAUCGACGAAUUCUUUUUUUUUUGACAACCAACAAAACUGUAUAGUGAUAUAAUGUUCUUUCGUUCUUAAUCAUUGACAAAAUGUGUGUAACUUUGUGGCUUCUUUUGUUUCGCUUGUUUGUUACGUAUCCGAUGGCGUUAUUCAAUACACAUUCUCAAAAACGAA